UGCAAGUCGAGCGGUAGCUCCUAUGGGUUAAAAGCUUAUAGGAGUGAGAGCGGCGCACGGUGAGUAACACGUAGGUAACCUACCCCAGAGAGGGGGAUAACACCUCGAAAGGGGUGCUAACCCCCCAUAUACUUACCGAGCGUAAUAGCUCAGGUAAGGAAAGAGUAUAAGGAGGCACUCCUUAUGCUGCUCUGGGAUGGGCCUGCGGCCUAUCAGCUAGUUGGUGGGGUAACGGCCACCAAGGCUAAGACGGGUAGCCGGCCUGAGAGGGUGGUCGGCCACACUGGGACUGAGAACGGCCCAGACUCCUACGGGAGGCAGCAGCCGGGAAUCUUCCGCAAUGGGGGAAACCCUACGGAGCGACGCCGCGUGAGGGAAGAAGCCCUUCGGGGUGUAAACCUCUUUUCUCGGGGAGAAGGCUGACGGUACCCGAGGAAAAAGCCCCGGCUAACUACGUGCCAGCAGCCGCGGUAGACGUAGGGGGCGAGCGUUGUCCGGAUUUACUGGGCGUAAAGGGCGUGUAGGCGGCUUGCAAGUCAGAUGUGGAAGCCCUGAGCUCAACUCAGGGAGGUCAUCUGAUACUGCUAAGCAGAGGGCAGGAGAGGAGGGCGGAACUUCCGGUGUAGCGGUGAAAUGCGUAGAUAUCGGAGGAACGCCGGUGG
Molecule: ribosomal RNA, 662 nt
Filed under: uncultured Dictyoglomota bacterium
Lineage: Bacteria; Pseudomonadati; Dictyoglomota
Description: bacterial SSU rRNA
Rfam family: Bacterial small subunit ribosomal RNA
Source: RNAcentral